Molecule: non-coding RNA, 30 nt
Filed under: Homo sapiens (human)
Lineage: Eukaryota; Metazoa; Chordata; Mammalia; Primates; Hominidae
Source: RNAcentral
UGUUGGGAACGGGUGCUCGGUGUUGCAGAA